GCAAACUCAAGAGCUUUCACUCCACACUUGCCCACACGUUUUUGCCUCCAAGCUUCCAAGCUUUCAAGUGCUCAAGUGUCCUAACUUUCCAAAGCUUCAAAAGCUCUCCAACUUCUUCUUCUAAUCUUCUUGUUCAUCUUUACAAGUAAGAAGUGUUGUUUGCUUUAAUAUUCCACUCCUCUAAUCACCUCUUGUGUGUGUCCACUUUGGUUGAGAGGGAUGUCUCAAUAGUACCAAAGUGUGAGAGAAGGUUUUUGAGCUCAACCAUAAAGCUCUAGUUUGGUUUUAUAGAGUUUCCGGGAAAACUCUUAGGUCGAGUCUACCUUGAAAGAUUUCAGGGUUUUUAAGAGUUCCUUGAUACUCUAAGGUACUAACUUACCCGUAAAAGUUAGAGGUUCUUAAGAGUGCCCUUGAUACUCUAAGGUGUGAGUCUACCCGUAAAAGACUGGUUCCUAAGCGAAGUAGCCUUAAAGCUUAGAGAGGUUUUUAAGAGUUCAUUGAUACUCUAAGGUAUUAACUUACCCGCAAAAGUUAGAGGUUCUUAAGAGUGCCCUUGAUACUCUAAGGUAUGAGUCUACCCGUAAAAGACUGGUUCCUAAGGGAAGUAACCUUAAAGCCUAGAGAGGUUCUUAAGAGUUUCCUUGAUACUCUAAGGUUUUGCUAUAACCUUUAGAUGAGUGAAUUCCGACAGUUGGUCGGGACUGGACUAGCCAUUGUUUGGGUGAACCAGUAUAAAUCUCUUGUAUUGUUCUUUGUUAACUCUAAUUUUUAUCUUUCAUCUAAAAACAACUAAACAACACUUAAUUGAAAAAGAUCCAUCUUCCAGUUAUCUGGUCAAAUACAGAGGUUGACUACUUUACGCAGAUCCCUCAUCCAGUUAUCUGGUCAACUAUCUGAGGUUAUAUUAAUUGCUUUAAAUCCUUAUUUAUAUAUUUGUUCAAGCAUUUACUUAUCAUAUAUAUAUCCAGUUAUCUGGUCAUUUACUUGCUUAUCAAUAUAUCCAGUUAUCUGGUCAUUUACUCUAUAAUAUAACUUGUGUUUAUAAUAUAACUUAGUAUUCAUAUACUAUAGUUGUUUAUAAAACACCAUCUGAAAAGUUGACUACGUAUUCAUAUACUGUAGUAAACUUCAAGAGCAAAAGACAAGUCCAAUAUAUAUAAUAUUAUAAGAUAUAAUAUUAUAUUGUUUAAAAUC
This 1194-nucleotide long non-coding RNA is filed under the name Zostera marina. RNAcentral describes it as "long non-coding RNA (ZMAR_LNC003044)". Lineage: Eukaryota; Viridiplantae; Streptophyta; Magnoliopsida; Alismatales; Zosteraceae. The record is from RNAcentral.